This 292-nucleotide ribosomal RNA is filed under the name uncultured bacterium. RNAcentral describes it as "partial 16S ribosomal RNA". It matches the Rfam family "Bacterial small subunit ribosomal RNA", at positions 505 to 796 of the family's 1533-position model. The record is from RNAcentral.
GUGCCAGCAGCCGCGGUAAGACAGAGGUGGCAAGCGUUGCUCGGAAUCACUGGGCUUAAAGGGUGUGUAGGCGGAUCGGUAAGCAUUUUGUGAAAGCCCCGGGCUCAACCCGGGAAUUGCAGGAUGGACUGCCGACCUUGAGGCGCGUAGAGGUCACUGGAACUCUGGGUGGAGCGGUGAAAUGCGUAGAUAUCCAGGGGAACGCCCAUGGCGAAGGCAGGUGACUGGGCGCGUCCUGACGCUGAGGCACGAAAGCGUGGGGAGCAAACGGGAUUAGAAACCCCCGUAGUCC